CGCAUUGAGCGCCCCGCCCUGGGGAGGUGCGGCCGCAAAGCUAAAACUCAAAAGGAAUGACGGGGGCCCGCACAAGCGGGCGGAGCAUGCGCUUAAUUCGAUGCAACGCGAAGAACCUUACCAAGGCUUGACAUAUACCGGAAACUCUCAGAGAUGGGGGCCCCGCAAGGUCGGUAUACAGGUGGUGCAUGGUUGUCGUCAGCUCGUGUCGUGAGAUGUUGGGUUAAGUCCCGCAACGAGCGCAACCCUCGUUCUAUGUUGCCAGCACGUGAUGGUGGGGACUCAUAGGAGACUGCCGGGGUCAACUCGGAGGAAGGUGGGGAUGACGUCAAAUCAUCAUGCCCCUUACGUCUUGGGCUUCACGCAUGCUACAAUGGCCGGUACAGAGGGCUGCGAUACCGCGAGGUGGAGCGAAUCCCUUAAAGCCGGUCUCAGUUCGGAUUGGGGUCUGCAACUCGACCCCAUGAAGUCGGAGUCGCUAGUAAUCGCAGAUCAGCAACGCUGCGGUGAAUACGUUCCCGGGCCUUGUACACACCGCCCGUCAAGUCACGAAAGUCGGUAACACCCGAAGCCGGUGGCCCAACCCUUGUGGGGGGAGCCGUUUGAAAGGU
RNAcentral lists this ribosomal RNA (611 nucleotides) under Ornithinimicrobium sp. m10-36. Its description in RNAcentral is "bacterial SSU rRNA". It matches the Rfam family "Bacterial small subunit ribosomal RNA", at positions 856 to 1463 of the family's 1533-position model. The record is from RNAcentral. Lineage: Bacteria; Bacillati; Actinomycetota; Actinomycetes; Micrococcales; Ornithinimicrobiaceae.